AACGCGAAGAACCUUACCAGGCCUUGACAUCCGAUGCAUAGCACAGAGAUGUGUGAAGUCCUUCGGGACAUCGAGACAGGUGGUGCAUGGUUGUCGUCAGCUCGUGUCGUGAGAUGUUGGGUUAAGUCCCGCAACGAGCGCAACCCUUAUUGCCAGUUACUACGCAAGAGGACUCUGGCGAGACUGCCGUUGACAAAACGGAGGAAGGUGGGGAUGACGUCAAAUCAUCAUGCCCUUUAUGACCUGGGCUACACACGUACUACAAUGGCGUUUAACAAAGAGAAGCAAUACCGCGAGGUGGAGCAAAACUCAAAAACAACGUCUCAGUUCAGAUUGCAGGCUGCAACUCGCCUGCAUGAAGUCGGAAUUGCUAGUAAUCGCGGAUCAGCAUGCCGCGGUGAAUACGUUCCCGGGUCUUGUACACACCG
This 428-nucleotide ribosomal RNA is filed under the name uncultured bacterium. Its description in RNAcentral is "bacterial SSU rRNA". It matches the Rfam family "Bacterial small subunit ribosomal RNA", at positions 958 to 1392 of the family's 1533-position model. The record is from RNAcentral.